GAAUCUUCCGCAAUGGACGCAAGUCUGACGGAGCAACGCCGCGUGAGCGAAGAAGGUUUUCGGAUCGUAAAGCUCUGUUGUGAGGGAAGAACAAGUGUAGGAGUAACUGCCAACAUCGUUACGGUCCCUCCCCAGAAAGCCACGGCUAACUACGUUCCAGCAGCCGCGGUAAUACGUAGGUGGCAAGCGUUGUCCGGAAUUAUUGGGCGUAAAGCGCGCGCAGGCGGUCCUUUAAGUCUGAUGUGAAAUCUUGCGGCUUAACCGCAAGCGGUCAUUGGAAACUGGGGGACUUGAGUACAGAAGAGGAGAGUGGAAUUCCACGUGUAGCGGUGAAAUGCGUAGAGAUGUGGAGGAACACCAGUGGCGAAGGCGGCUCUCUGGUCUGUCACUGACGCUGAGGCGCGAAAGCGUGGGUAGCGAAC
RNAcentral lists this ribosomal RNA (422 nucleotides) under uncultured bacterium. Its description in RNAcentral is "partial 16S ribosomal RNA". It matches the Rfam family "Bacterial small subunit ribosomal RNA", at positions 359 to 773 of the family's 1533-position model. The record is from RNAcentral.